AUCAGCAGCCAUAUCACUCUGCAACCCACAACUGGCAACACAUUGAAGAUAAGCAGGUGUGAGUCUGGUCUCCACCUGGAUGGGAGACCUCCUGGGAAUACUAAGGUUGCUGCUGGAA
RNAcentral lists this ribosomal RNA (118 nucleotides) under Lepisosteus oculatus (spotted gar). Lineage: Eukaryota; Metazoa; Chordata; Actinopteri; Semionotiformes; Lepisosteidae. The record is from RNAcentral.